AGCUCUCGGGAGAAGUGAUUUUGCAAAUUGCCAACGAACCUGUUCUGCCCUUUAAUGCAAUUGAUAUAGCUUUAGAAGUUCAAAACAACCUUAAAGGUGAUCAACCCAACACUCAUCAACUGUUAGCCAUGGCGUCACGCCUGCGGGAGAGUGCUGAACUUUUUCAGUCUGAUGAGAUGCGACCUGCUAAUGAUCCCAAGGAGAGAGCAUCCAACCGCAUCCGGAUGCUGAAUGACAUUCUCCAAGACAUGGAGAAAAGCUUUCUGGUGAAGCAGGCGCCGCCAGGUUUUUAUAGAAACAUCCUGUACCACCUUGAUGAAAAGACAAGCCGAUUUUCAAUACUUGUGGAGGCUUGGGAACACUGCAAACCCCUUGCAUCAAAUGAGACCCUUCAGGAAGCCCUGUCAGAGGUGUUGAACAGCAUUAAUUCAGCUCAGGUUUACUUCAAAGCAGGACUUGAUGUGUUCAGGAGUGUCUUGGAUGGGAAGAAUUGAGAAAACCCUGAGCAUUUUUUAAAGUUUGCUUACAAUUCCACAAGCAAAAGCUCUAAUUUAACCAGAUUUUCUGACACUGAAGGCUUAUUUUCCCCCAUGACUUUUUGACAAGUAUAAAGCUGUUAUUACAUUGUAUUUUUUAAAUGUAAAUAUAAAAAGAACAUUUUGCACAUUUAAUAUUUUUUGUAUCUACAUUUCUGACUAUGUAAAGCAAGUUAUUGAAAUAGGACUUAAGAAUUACCUAUUAAAAAGAAAUCUGAUAUUUUAUAUAUGUGUGUGUAUAUAUAUAUACACACACACACAUACACACACACUAUUUUGAGGAGAAAGUUUCAAGAAGUUCCGGAGUAUCUUUGUUCCUAUGGGCAGAGCAUAUAGGAACACAGUUUAUUCUCUCUGAUAGAGCUAUUAAUGAUCUAGUUUCUGUAAAAGAAAUGAAGAGUUGAUAUGGUUCCGAUUAACUUCACUAUUAAGUGUUCAGUAUGAAGAAUUCAAGUAUUGUGACUGAGUGAUUGGUUGACCUAAACCACUUUGAAUGUUUCUAUUUUAUGAAAUGAAGUUUCUCUUCUUAACACAACUAGAUGUAGUAAUACACUGGUUAUGAAAUUGUAUUUUUUUAAGUAUUAAUGAAAAAAGAGCCAUAAGCAUUCCAGGGAAAAAUCUCAAGGUAGCUACACAGAGCAAUUUAAAUGCAAAUUUUUUUCGUAACAACUUACAAGGUGACUAGCUUUGAAACCCCUAAUUUGCCUCAGUUGAUUUUCUAAGAAUUUCAGGAGUGAUGUAUGUCUUAAGAGGGAGAAAAAAUAUAUCUUAUUACUUUUUCUCUUGUUUCUUUUGGAAACACUGAAACAGGGACUACUCUAAAAUGAAAGCAGCUCACAUUGGUUUUCUUUCUUGUAUCUUUUCUGAAACUCCUUGCUGUAAGGCAGCUUUCACAGAGUACCAUAUAUUUUCCACAGUAAAGUAGCAAAGUUUCUCUUUGAAACCCAAAAUAUCUUCUAAAGCAUCAAAUUUCUAUUUCUGCCUCUGACAAAAAGAACUUCCUAUGAAAGAAAUAGUUGUUUUUAUCAAUAAAAGCUCCUUAAUACUAUGAAGAAACUUUUAGUAUUUUUUCUUCUUUAUCCUUAAUUGUGACUAAGAUGGAAAUCUAGAAAAUAUUCAUGCUUCUAAGUUUCUACAGGGUUACUGUAAGAGAGUGUUUCAUCUACACUUCAAUUCUUCUCUCAUGUGGAAAACUAAGUUUUUUAUAUUGACAUUGUCGUUGAAUAGCUCUAGCAAUUAUUAUUAUUCUCCCAAACACUAAAAUUCUACCUAUUAAGUGUCAGCUUAAAGUUCUAGUUUAUCUUUAGAAGUUUAUUUGAAAAAUGGUUUUCGUAUACUGGAUAAAGCAAUUCCCCUUAGGAAACAUAGCCUCAGAGUAUUUCAUAUAAAUUUUCUCUACCUAAUUCAAACAUACUUCUCCAUCAUACACCGUCAGAGCAACAUUGCAAAUAGUCUGUGUAUAUUUAAAUUUUCACUUUUAAUGGAUGAGCAUAAACCUAGUCUUAGUUUAAAGGCAAACUAAAGUUGAGGGAAGAUAAUUAAUCAAUAUUCAUUAAUUGAUUUAUAAGGUUCAACACUUUCUACCCUAAAUUAUUUUUAUACGCUCAAGGCAAAGCACGGAAUUGAGGCAAUUAGCUAGAUAAUUCAAGCAGAAACCCAUUUUCAUGGAAAUUGCCUGUGUACACAUAUUUUUAGAUGAAAAAUGAAACUACCUUGCAAUAUUAUUUUUUACCAAUUUAUUUGUUUGAAAACAUUUGCCAUGUUGAAGAAUGUGUAUAGGAAAGGGCUAGAAAUAAACAGGAUUGUUUAUUUAAUACAGAGACAUUCAUGAUCUUUCUUCCUCUUCAGAGAUCAUCAGAAAAGAGGUGGGAAUAUACAUGCAGGUGCAUGUGAGCCCAAAUGCCAAAAAGUCUUAUACCAGAAGAACUUAAAUAUUUAACCACAGGUUGAUGUGUUCAUUCCUGUUAUUCAUUUACAGAUGAAAUUAAAACAAAGAAAGGCAAACUAUUGUCAGUUUGGUAGUUCACUACUUUAGAGCAAAUUUCUAAAUGAAUUUAUUCCCAUAACCUGCAAUAGCACUGAGAGCAGAAAAUAUGUUUCUUCUUCAUCUUUGUUUAAAGAUUGCGUACCUAGGUAAGUCACAUUGUAUAGAUAAAAACCUUCUUCUGUAUUCCUCAUCUCUAAAUUAAAUGUUAUUUGCUAUUUGAAAACUGAAGUUAACUAUGGUUUUUAUUAGUCUAUUAAGAGAUAAGUGGAGAAAUUUAAUUAUAACUAAAGCAGAUGUCCAAAAUUCUAUACAUGCUGCUUUACAUCUUUGCAACAAACCUCUUAACUAGCAGCAUUAUUUCUAUAGUGUGAUUACCUGAGGGUGCCUCCAAAUGUAUAUCAUUUCACUCCCCUCCCCACUCCACCCCCAACAGAUCCAAAUAAAUAAAAUCCUGGGCAAGUUAAUAGCAAGUGUUAUGUGAAUUGGUAGUAGGUUUAAAUUGUUGCUGAGUUGUCCAUAUGCCUGGUGCUUCUCAGAAUCUUUCAUACAUAGAAUCGUGCCUAGGAAAUAAUGAAUCAUGAAUAUUCUCUGAAGAAAAUGCGGCAAAGGCGUAACAGUGAAAUUUAUGUUCAGGCAGGGUAUGCAUGAAAUACUGCCCUUUAUGGAAAAGCGUAAGUCUCAGAAUCAAAAGAAAGCCUAAGAAGGAUUCUGGUCUAAGCCCUGAGAUCUUGCCUUCAGCCAGAGAAGGCACUAUCAGUUACCCCCACCAGAUGUAAUAACUAAACCCAAAGCGAAUAAGAAACUUGGACAUAGUCGUGUAUUUAGUUAGUAACAAAAGCACCACUGGAAUUUAAGCUUCUCUGCUUUCUCAUGCAGUAUAUCUUGCUUUUCCCUGAGGAGACAGGGUUAUAAAUGAUCUUUUCCAGUGCAUUCUAUGUAACCAGCCAUUCUAUCAGAUGUUGCAUGGGCUGGUUUUAAUUCAAGGCUAGUUCUUUCUCUGACUGUACCUGACAAACCAAACUGUCCCCAGGAAUUCAGGCAAAGGAAACAAAGACUGCGUACUUGAGAGAACGUGAGGAGAGUCCUUACAGAACACCAGAAGUCAGGAAGAAGGACAUUGAGCAAACUAUUUCUGUGAGAGGGCAGUGUUAACUAAACAAUCUAAAUCACCAUUUCUCAAAAUGUGAAAUUUAGAAAGACAGGGCUAGGAAUCUACGUCUUCAGCAGGAUUUCUGGAUGUUUCUUACACACAUUGAUGUUUAAGAAUUUCCAAUCUACAUUAAUCCUAGGUUCCAACGUAGGUUCCAAGAAAAUGCUAGUUGACAUUUCUAGAUAGAUUGAAGAGUCACAGUAACAAGAAAGACAUAAAUCUUUGUUAUUAAUGGAAUCAUUAUGAGAAAAGAAAAGUGGACCCAUUUUAUCCCUAAGAAAACAAUUCAGUUGCAGCUUAUAUUUGCGCUUGCUACAUCCCAGGCACUGGUGUUCUAGAAUUUUCCCAUGUAUUUUUUUUUUAAUUCCCACAACAACACAUUUAAAAAUGAGAAAACUAGGAUGAGUGACUUGUCCACAGUUCCAAAGCUAAUAAAAAUGAUGAGGCAUGUUUCUCUUCUGGGCUCACUGUAUUCAGUUCUUUGUUCAUACACUGAGUGCUGAAAAAAAAAAUCAGACUAUUUUCAUUCUAGAAAGUGAUAUAAUUGAAAAUUUUAACAUAUUUCUCCAAAACUGAUCAGACUCUGCAGUCUGUCAUUUUUUUUGGUAUAAUAAAAGAGUUCGAAGAAACAAAUGACAUUAUUCCUGAUGAUGGUAGCCCCUUCAACAAUGGUGUAUAUAUGUAGGUAAAGUUUGAAGAUAUCUAAAGAACAUGAAAAAGCAAGUGCACCAUUGUGGAAUAUCAUGACAAGUAGGCUUACAAACGGUAAAAAGAGACCAGAAACCACAGGUCUUACACUUUCCUUCUCUAAAUGCUUACAUAAUUUCAAUUAAAAAAAGAAAAGCAGGUACUGUGAUUUAGAACCACAGUUUUAUGUUAUUUUUUAAAAUUCAGAAUAACCAGUUGACUUUUUUUAAUUAAGUAAAUGUAGAGCAUAUAGUAAGUUUCCCCAGAAGAAAGAUAGAUGUUCACAAAAAUAAAAUAAAUGCUUAUUUGUGACCAUCUUACUAAUGAUGAAUCAGCAUCUUUGCCUCAAAUGAAAGUCUAUAAUUAUUUGUACGACAAAUUGGUAGACCUAGCCAAAAAUGUUCUCAUGAGACAUUCUGUGAUAUGUGUAAUUGAUUACUCCAAAAAUAAAGCUUUCUCUGAGGGUAACACAUUGUCAUUUCAUUGGUUUAAUGGGCUAUUUAAAUGUGCCUUAGCCGCACAUUUGCUUAAUAGAAAGGAAUUAUUUUAAACUACCAAUCCAUAUGUUGAGUGGAAAGGAAGUUGGCCCACAUAUUCCAAUAAAUAUAUCAGCAACAUAACAGUUUCAUCACGGGACCAUGGAUACAGUGCAGGGAAAAAACAAACAAACAAUACAAUAUUUGAGAAAAUAAAUAUUCUGCCGAGCUACACUAGUGAGUUUUUAUUUCUUUUAUGAGUUUAAAUUAUCAACUUUAAAAAGCCUCAUUAGAAUUUGCUAUUCAGAAAGACCUUAAAAACCCUCACAGAGUUCUAAGCAUCCCAUUCAUUGAAAAUACUUUUCAGUUAAGUAGAUUUGUUUCGUGCACUUCACAAUUUUAGGUGACAUGAAUUUGAAGCGCAGCAAAAGAAAUGUAUAAAAGAUAGCCUUUUCUGGUCAUUACCAUGUCUACUCAAGUUUCUGUUUUCUAGGUACACUCUAACAUUGUAAUUUUUCCCCCUGAGAAGUAAUUUUAAGAUCUAUCAGUCUCAAUUUAAAUGAUCUGUUAAUCAGCCAGAGUUUUAGUUUCAUAAUAUCGUUCCAUUGUCUGACAAAGAUAUACACACUAAAGUGCCUUUAGCAGGCCUGGGACUGUCAAGAAUCUUGGUACCGUGAUUACUGCAAGAUGACAUAUUUCUUAAGACAUUUAUAAUCUUAUAUUUGGAUUUAAUCUGAAUUUACAAAUAAAAGGGUUAAAUUGAGGCAGUUUCAAGCAGCGUUUAAGAAAAUGAAGUGGCUUCAAAUUUUAAUGUUUCUGGUUAGAUUAUUUUGUUUAAAUUAUACAAUUAUAUAAUUUUCUGUAACCGAAAUGGUAAUUUUGAUGAAUUUUUUAAUGCCAAAAUCCAAUCAUCAAGGCCAAAGAAAUGCACGAUUACUCUGCUGUCUUAUGCACGAUUCAGUCAAGAAUUAACUCAGAGGCAUUUGAUUCAGGGCUUACAUCUAGACAAAGUUUUAAUGAGUGCAGACACAGCCUAACAGUAUUUCAUUUAAUUUCUUUGAGGGCUUAAGCCAAUAAACACUGCGGUAGCUUUUCUCAGAAGGAAACAGAUUUUAUUUUCCAGGUGCUAAUUAAUAUGUACCACCUAAGUCCCCAAAGGAUCACACAGGUGCCUGUAUCCUGCCAUAUGUCAUGUGCUAUAUUCCUGCAAGCUCAAGAGAAUAAUAUACCAUCAUUAUUAUGAAUUAUUAUGUUGCAUUGAAGCUAACGUCAGUCUUUUUUUCUAAUUAAAGUACAAACUUGGCAUGUGAAUAGAAGCUUAGCUAGAGAAGUGGAGUUAGAGUCCCUAUUUUAAUGAACUACAUAUAUUUUUCAAUCAAAAUGUUUAAUUAUUUAAUUAUCUAGCCUGCUUGGUAAUCAUAACUCUCCAACUUCUUCAAAAGACCUUUAUUCAAUAUGUUACCACUCAUAUGGUCAUUACUUGGUGUGUGUUUUAUAUUUUGAAUUUCUUAGAUGCUUUCAGUGUAUGUGCUGGUGUUUUAUUAAUACUAAAAAUUUUUGUUUACUUCUAUAUCAAACUGCCGCAAAAGGAAUAUCUUAUUUUGAAAGUUAGAAUAAAAUGCUAUUGCUCUCUAAGCAGAACUUUAGCAUAUCUGUUUGAGAAGAAACACAAACAAAAUAUUUUUCUACGCUAUUACAAAUGGUCCGCAAGAAACAAAAUGCCAGAUGGUUAAGUGUAGCUCACAUAAUUAUAUUCCAAAGAUGUUAUAAAUAAUUCUAUUUAGCAUCUGAGAUAGGUCUCUAUUAGGCAAUUUCAUGUUUACAUUUCUAACAGAAAGGUUUAAUGGUAAAUACAUGCCUUAUAUUCUAACUUGCUACUUGGAGAAUAUGGAUAUUCUGAAAAGAAAAACUCUUUCUAGAACACUUUGCAGGGCUAAUUUUUUUUUAUAGACAUCUAGAAAAUAGCCUGGCAACAAAGUGAAACCCUGUCUCUCUCUCUAAAAAAAAAGUUACUAGGGAGGCUGAGGCGGAAGAAUCAUUUGGGCCCGAGAGUUUGAAGCUGCAGUGAGCUAAAAUCAUGCCACUGUAGUCCAACCUGUGUAACAGACAGAACCUAUCUCAAAAAAAAAAAAAAAAAAAAAGAAAGGAAAAGAAAAGAAAGUCACAUGCUGUUGAUAAUAGUUUUAUAUGUGUUUGGAAUAUUAAUAUGGGAUACAUACAUUUAAAUGCAUUUAAUACUUUAAUCAUAUAUGCAAUGUAGCAACAUUUAGAUAUGUAAGAUUUUAGAAGUAAAAUCUCAGUGGUAUAACAUUUAAAACACAGCCUUAAAAUGAAGAAUAGGGAAGAGCAGGAGAAAAUUUAUAAAUUAACCUAAGGUAAAAUUUGGAGGAAAAUUUUUCCAAAUAAAUUUGCUUUGGUUAAAAACAAAUAUCUCUCAAGAAUUGCCCCAAUUACUAAAUUAUGUUGAACUGUUUUGGUGUUUAGCCUUGUUCAAAAUAGUUUGAUUAUCAUCUGUGAUUCAGAAAUAUUUUCAUUGUACAGAGAUUUCAUUGUCAUUGUAGUUGUUGUAACUGAUUUUUAAUGAUAUUGAUUUAAAGGCAUUUGUCUGUAGUUUUAAAAUUACUAUAUAGGGUUGAAUGUCUAAUUUCUAUAAUGUGUGGAUGCCCAUCAGAUAUUUACUACAUUCUAUAUUUAGCCAAGUGUGAUCACAAUUUAUUUUAUAACUUUUUAUGUGUUACAUAACUCAAUGUGCAUCUUACUUAAGAAAUUAUGUUGUAAUUUGGAGUGACACAAAUAGGUUGAGAUAUCACACCCAUUAAAAAUAUAACUGAAUAUUUUAUAUUUAAGUUGUUUAAAUAUUUGCACAUUAUUGAAAACAUAGUACUAUGAAAUGAAGGCACCAUUUAAAAAACGUGUUCUGAGUCACAAAUUUCAUGAAUGUGUACAGUGAAAUGUUAGUGUUUAAAGCACCCAUUUUGAAAUUAUUAAAUACAGGUAAAAACA
Chlorocebus sabaeus (green monkey) is the source of this 7839-nucleotide non-coding RNA. NCBI's taxonomy places the organism in Eukaryota, Metazoa, Chordata, Mammalia, Primates, Cercopithecidae. The record is from RefSeq and is a predicted model, not a curated record.